RNAcentral lists this transfer RNA (64 nucleotides) under Glyptelasma annandalei. RNAcentral describes it as "tRNA-Tyr". Lineage: Eukaryota; Metazoa; Arthropoda; Thecostraca; Poecilasmatidae. The record is from RNAcentral.
UUAAAGAUGGCUGAAUUAUUAGGUAUUAGAUUGUAAAUCUAACAAUGGGUUUGAUCCUCUUUAA